CCAUGCUGUCGACCGGCCGAGCACAAACAAACAUUCUAAAUUUUAAAACAAUCUAUUUUUCUGGAUUUCUGGUGUGCGUAUCCCUCUUAAUUUAUUGCGAAUGGGAAGUCUAUAACUGUAACGCCAUACCACUAUAUUUCAUUCUACAAAAUUGUAAUCAAGUAAAUGUCGCAAAACGAAGACUCAAAAUAGUAUGACAGAACUACAAACUGUGUGAGUGUCCGUAUGCAUAUACAUAUAAUAAAAGCUUUAAAAACAUUACCUCAUGAUAUAUAUUAUAUAAAUUUUAAUAUUAUUAGUUGACCGCUUUAGGCUAUAUAAGUAUAUUAUAUAGCUACAUAUGUAUAAGAAGC
This is a non-coding RNA of Paramuricea clavata, 353 nucleotides long. NCBI's taxonomy places the organism in Eukaryota, Metazoa, Cnidaria, Anthozoa, Malacalcyonacea, Plexauridae. The record is from the annotation of a GenBank genome assembly.